Dunckerocampus dactyliophorus (ringed pipefish) is the source of this 1710-nucleotide long non-coding RNA. RefSeq lists it as uncharacterized. The record is from RefSeq and is a predicted model, not a curated record. The transcript is spliced from 3 exons. Lineage: Eukaryota; Metazoa; Chordata; Actinopteri; Syngnathiformes; Syngnathidae.
CUUCCUCUUCUCAACCACCGAUAGCUGACGACUAGCAAACACGUCGGCACGGCUGCACGGUACCUGACGACCACACCCCUGUCACACGACGCCACACGGGGAUAUACACGAGUACGUACCUGUUCCACAUUGCCAUGGCGAUAGGUGAGGAUCCUGGUAAUGUUCUUGAACUCUGCAUAGCGACUGACGUUUGAUUUGAUGAGCAGAUCAACCAAUGAGCCUCGCGCAUACAUCAACUAAAGAAAUGAAACAUGACACAUUCAAGCUAGUUGGAUGAUGAAAUAACCUGCAUGGUUACCUUGGAGACCAGGUCGAUGUUGAACCUUCGUCCUUCUUUCACCAGCUGAGCGAAGGUGAUCUUCCUGUUUGGCUCCGAUUGGCUGGCAACAUCCUGGGGGCGUGGCAGAUCUGACUCCUUUUCUGUGUGGACAGCCUAUGAUUGGAUGAAACAUGUCUGUCAUGUGAUCCAAAAAGGGCUGACACACACACACAUACACACACACACACACAGUGCAUGUGUGUGUUUGUUGCACUCACCUCCUCUUCUUCUGUUUGCUGCUGUUUCUCCUUUGGCUCUGACUCUACACAUGAUUCUUCUUCUAUGCUCUUCUCUUCAUCAUCAUCUUCUUGGUCCUCACUGGGGAAAAAUGUGUCAUGUUGGUAACAGUCUUCCAUCAUUGAGACACAUCUAAAUAAAAUGUCACCUUGUAAAACAGAACACUUGCAGGUUCGAGACAGAGGCAGAGUCUGUGUUUGACACAUAGAUUGGCUCCUCCCCUUCUGCCAAGAGACCAGACCAAUCCUGGACCUCAUCACCCUGAGACUGCUCCUGACCGCAUGCAGGCACAGCAGAGUGUGUGCACAUCGGGAGGACAGGGGACGGUCCACUCACGUGUCCAGGUGAAGAACUCUUUGUCCCACUCGAGAACAGGCUGCUGCCACCACUGACUCAGUGAGACCUGUCAAUCAUUAAUCAUCAAAGCAGGUGAAGGAGCACACACCCACCUACUAGUGUAAACAACUAAAUAGAAAAUAGGUUUUUAUAACAACAUGAAGCAUAUAGACACUGAAAACAAUUACAUCAUCGCAAUUAUCAGAAUGAGGAUUUAGUCGUUUUAGUGUUAGCAUAGUGACAAAAUGCUGGAACGGAAGCUCCAAGCAUUAGCUAGAUGUUUGUUAGCCACCAUCCUUUCAAACGAACUAGAUGUUAGCCACAAGCUAACCGUAGUGCGUUUCGGUCAGCGAGGAGAUAUUUGCAGACAAAAAUGCCUGUUUUGUAUGAGACAAUGUUAAGCACUUUAGAUUAAACACACAGCAUCCGAACAAAGCAUAUUUGGCGAGUUUACCUGUUCCCAGAAUGACGACGUCAAACUCAGACGGAAGAUCCUCGGCUGCCAUCUUGGUUCAGGCGCGUGACCCACACCGAGUGCUCGUCGCGGGGCGCGCGCGUGCGUCUACACGUACAGAGGUGAAGUUAUUAGACCUCUUCAGGAUCAUCAGCAUAACCUUCUACAGCAUCAUCAGUGUGAACAUUCUACAUCAUCAUCAUCAGUAUAAACCUUCUACAGCCUAGGUUCCCAAAGUGGGGUGCGCGUAUCCCCUGGAGUACACCAGUUGUCAUAGGGAACAAAAAUGGAAAACAAUUACGUGUGCCAGAGUGUGCCCAAGGAGAACGGAGCAGAAAGAGAGCACGAAGUUGUUCAUUGCUCU